GGUACUAGCAGCGAUGCGAGCGCGGGC
This 27-nucleotide small RNA is filed under the name Bombyx mori (domestic silkworm). RNAcentral describes it as "ovarian small RNA-17551". The record is from RNAcentral. Lineage: Eukaryota; Metazoa; Arthropoda; Insecta; Lepidoptera; Bombycidae.